GACGAACGCUGGCGGCGUGCUUAACACAUGCAAGUCGAACGGAAAGGCCCUGCUUUUGUGGGGUGCUCGAGUGGCGAACGGGUGAGUAACACGUGAGUAACCUGCCCUUGACUUUGGGAUAACUUCAGGAAACUGGGGCUAAUACCGGAUAGGAGCUCCUGCUGCAUGGUGGGGGUUGGAAAGUUUCGGCGGUUGGGGAUGGACUCGCGGCUUAUCAGCUUGUUGGUGGGGUAGUGGCUUACCAAGGCUUUGACGGGUAGCCGGCCUGAGAGGGUGACCGGGCCCAAUGGGAAUGAGGUACGGCCCAGGCUCCUACGGGGGGCAGGAGGGGGGAAUAUUGCACAAUGGGGGGAAGCCUUAUGCAGCAACGCCGGGGGCGGGAAGACGGCCUUUGGGUUGUAAACCGCUUUCGCCUGGGACGAAGCGGGAGUGGCGGUAAUGGGUAAAGAAGCACCGGCUAACUACGUG
This 468-nucleotide ribosomal RNA is filed under the name uncultured bacterium. Its description in RNAcentral is "partial 16S ribosomal RNA". It matches the Rfam family "Bacterial small subunit ribosomal RNA", at positions 28 to 507 of the family's 1533-position model. The record is from RNAcentral.